UAAGGAAUAUUGGUCAAUGGACGCAAGUCUGAACCAGCCAUGCCGCGUGAAGGAAGACGGCCCUACGGGUUGUAAACUUCUUUUGUACGGGAAAAAACCACCGGUCGAGCAUCGGUGCUGAUGGUACCGUAAGAAUAAGCAUCGGCUAACUCCGUGCCAGCAGCCGCGGUAAUACGGAGGAUGCAAGCGUUAUCCGGAUUCAUUGGGUUUAAAGGGUGCGCAGGCGGAAUGAUAAGUCAGUGGUGAAAUCCUACGGCUCAACUGUAGAACUGCCAUUGAUACUGUUGUUCUUGAGUACACUUGGAGUGGGCGGAAUGUGUCAUGUAGCGGUGAAAUGCUUAGAUAUGACACAGAACACCGAUCGCGAAGGCAGCUCACUAAAUUGUAACUGACGCUCAUGCACGAAAGCGUGGGGAUCAAACA
Molecule: ribosomal RNA, 423 nt
Filed under: uncultured prokaryote
Description: bacterial SSU rRNA
Rfam family: Bacterial small subunit ribosomal RNA
Source: RNAcentral